AAAAUUUUAAUAACAACAACAAUAAUAAAUUUGAAAAUUAAUGUUAGAAUUAAAUUAGAUUAGGAGUGAGGGGAUAAGGAAGGAGAGGGAUGAUAGAUUUGAAAAAAAAGAGAUACACACACCGAUUGUGAGAAAGUAGUUGGUUGGUUGGUUGGUUGAGUGUGCGCCAGCCGCGUCCCGUCGUCGGGUAAAAGCCAGGAUCGUUCGGUUGGUUCCGUUCAGUAUGUGCCGGUACUUCUCAUCGUACGCGUUUACUGCAAUUCGUUCGUGUUAUUGCUGUCGUUACCGGUUGCUUCAUUUGGUUGGUUGGUUGAUUGAUUGAUUGAUUGAUUGAUUGAUCGAUGAUACUACGAAUUAUCAGGGAUAUUCAUUUGCAACUUAAGUCGAUGAUCCAUGUGCAUUUCAAGGACGUUAGAAGCCUUAACACGUUUUAGUAAUUUCUGACGAAGACUAAUAACACGGAAGAAAGAAAGAAGAAAGUAAAGAUAAUAAAAAAUGAUCAUUGUGUUACUUAAAAAUUCAUCGUCAUCGUCAUCAUCAUCGUCAGCGUACAAUUAUCAUCCUAAAUUGAGAACAGUUUGAUUGAAGACAAGUGGAGAAAAAAAGAAUAGACGAUAUUUCUCAAGAGACAUUAGCGAAUAAAAAUAAAUCAAAAAAGAACAACAAUAACAACAACAAGGGGAAAGGACACAAAUCAGAGAAAGUGCGAUAUCUUCAGUUAGAAAAAAAAAAACAAACUUCUCUCAUCAUCAUCCCCCUCCUGUUCUUUUGCUUCUGCUUCUACUUGUUCUUCUGCUUCAACAUCAAUAAGCAAAAACAUUGGUGUGGAACCCCAAUUGGAAAUAACCAAAUUAAAAAAGAAAAGGGGAUUGAUUGAAAAGUUGUGAAAAAACGAUCGAACGAAAUAAAAUUAAAGUGGAUCGUAAAGAAAACAAAAGACGACGAAGAAGAAGAAGAAAAAAAGAUAAUAAUAAUAAUAAUAUUAAUAAUAAUAGUGUGAUCAAAUAAGAAAAAGAAGGCAUCAUCGUCCAUCGUCAUAGGUGUGCGUUGUUUGGUCUUUUCAAGAGGGCAUGAUAAGCAAGGACGCGACCUUGAGAAGAGAAUCAGGUGCCGCAGACGAAUGCAGUGAACUCGAAAGAAUAGUUGUCAGAGAAAGAAAUAAGAUUCGUAGGAUUAAUCGUUCAGUUUCACGUAUUAUUUUUAUGACGGAAUGACGAGACGUUCUUCAUCAUCAUCGUCUUCAUCGUCAUCGUCAUCGUUUUCAUCGUCAUUGUCCUUAAUUUCAACGAUAUCGUCAUCGUCAACGUUGUCGUCCUCGUCGCGUUUUAAUUUUAUUCGUGCAUUUGAUGAAAUGUGGUUGAGAAAAUUUAUAAACAUUUCAAUUAAGUGAUUUUUCUUUUCACAAUUUUGACACAAAUUAUUUCUCUAAUCGAUGAGAUAAUUAUAAUAAUAAUAAUAAUAAUAAGAUUGAGAAAAAAAUCAUCUAAUUUUAUCAUCACGACGUUGUGGAAAAAGAAGAAGAAGAAAAAGAAGAAGAAGAAAGAAAAAAAAUUGUUCUUGUUUCUCGUAAAAUUAUUGACAACAAUCAAAAUUUCAUUUAAACAAUUACAAUUUGACACUUUCUAAUUGUUUUUAUUUUAAUUGAUCC
RNAcentral lists this long non-coding RNA (1648 nucleotides) under Polistes dominula (European paper wasp). Its description in RNAcentral is "uncharacterized LOC107066691, transcript variant X1". The record is from RNAcentral. Lineage: Eukaryota; Metazoa; Arthropoda; Insecta; Hymenoptera; Vespidae.